CAGCAGCCGCGGUAAUACGUAGGGUGCAAGCGUUAUCCGGAAUUAUUGGGCGUAAAGAGCUCGUAGGCGGUUUGUCGCGUCUGCUGUGAAAACUGGAGGCUCAACCUCCAGCCUGCAGUGGGUACGGGCAGACUAGAGUGCGGUAGGGGAGAUUGGAAUUCCUGGUGUAGCGGUGGAAUGCGCAGAUAUCAGGAGGAACACCGAUGGCGAAGGCAGAUCUCUGGGCCGUAACUGACGCUGAGGAGCGAAAGCAUGGGGAGCGAACAGGAUUAGAUACCCGAGUAGUCCCUGUCUCUUAUAC
RNAcentral lists this ribosomal RNA (301 nucleotides) under uncultured bacterium. RNAcentral describes it as "partial 16S ribosomal RNA". It matches the Rfam family "Bacterial small subunit ribosomal RNA", at positions 509 to 807 of the family's 1533-position model. The record is from RNAcentral.